This is a long non-coding RNA of Rosa rugosa (rugosa rose), 385 nucleotides long. RefSeq lists it as uncharacterized. The transcript is spliced from 2 exons. The record is from RefSeq and is a predicted model, not a curated record. Lineage: Eukaryota; Viridiplantae; Streptophyta; Magnoliopsida; Rosales; Rosaceae.
GUGCAAUGUUUAUUUUGAUUGGCAUUUCCUAAGCGCAACAACCAAGAGUCAUCGUUUCUUGUAAUAGCUUUCUACUCUUGGAUCCUUGAAAGAAUGGAAUGCUUCAAGCUUCAUGUACCACUCUCAUCAAUCAGUUCAUGCAUGAUUUGUGCCUUGAGGUGAUUGACAACCGAGGUGAGAGUUGUGCCAUCUUAAGAUUGACAAAGGAGAACAAGGUCGCUGAUUUGAAAGUAGCAAAGACGAGGAGACACCGCUGCCCACUAGAUUGGUUCUAGUAGAUGAGUUGUGUAAGAUCUUUAUGUACUUUCAUAUUCAUAUAGUGGAUUGUUCACCGGCAUAGUGCCCGCAGUUGUUUACCUCUUUGGAGGGUUUUACUGCGUCAACA